Molecule: ribosomal RNA, 405 nt
Filed under: uncultured bacterium
Lineage: Bacteria
Description: partial 16S ribosomal RNA
Rfam family: Bacterial small subunit ribosomal RNA
Source: RNAcentral
AUUGAACGCUGGCGGCAGGCUUAACACAUGCAAGUCGAACGAGUGGCGGACGGGUGAGUAAUGCUUGGGAAUCUAGCCUAUGGAGGGGGAUAACUACGGGAAACUGUAGCUAAUACCGCGUACCAUAGGAUGAGCCCAAGUGGGAUUAGGUAGUUGGUGAGGUAAAGGCUCACCAAGCCGACGAUCUCUAGCUGGUCUGAGAGGAUGACCAGGCACACUGGGACGGAGACGCGGCCCAGUCUCCUACUAGAGGCAGCAGUGGGGAAUAUAGCGCGAAGGGGGCAACCCUGCAGCAGGCAUGCAGCGUGAAUGAAGAAGGCCUUCGGGUUGUAAAGUACUUUCAGCGAGGAGGCGUAACUCGCAGAAGAAGCACCGGCUAACUCCGUGCCAGCAGCCGCGGUAAUA